GAUGAACGCUAGCGGCAGGCUUAACACAUGCAAGUCGAACGGCAAGGCUCACUUCGGUGAGUACACGAGUGGCGCACGGGUGCGUAACGCGUAUGCAACCUACCUUCUACUGAGGAAUAGCCCCGAGAAAUUGGGAUUAAUACCUCAUAAUAUUAACCUUAGGCAUCUUCGGUUAAUUAAAACUCCGGUGGUAGAAGAUGGGCAUGCGUAACAUUAGCUUGUUGGUGAGGUAACGGCUCACCAAGGCAACGAUGUUUAGGGGUUCUGAGAGGAUUAUCCCCCACACUGGUACUGAGACACGGACCAGACUCCUACGGGAGGCAGCAGUGAGGAAUAUUGGGCAAUGGACGAAAGUCUGACCCAGCCAUGCCGCGUGAAGGAUGACAGCCCUAUGGGUUGUAAACUUCUUUUAUAUGCCAAGAAACCCUCCGACGUGUCGGAGGCUGACGGUAGCAUAUGAAUAAGCAUCGGCUAACUCCGUGCCAGCAGCCGCGGUAAUACGGAGGAUGCAAGCGUUAUCCGGAUUUAUUGGGUUUAAAGGGUGCGCAGGCGGGCCUGUAAGUCAGUGGUGAAAGCCCUCGGCUCAACCGAGGAACUGCCAUUGAUACUGCAGGUCUAGAGUACAGAUGGGGUAGGCGGAAUGUAGCAUGUAGCGGUGAAAUGCUUAGAUAUGCUACAGAACACCAAUCGCGAAGGCAGCUUACCAAACUGUUACUGACGCUCAGGCACGAAAGCGUGGGGAGCGAACAGGAUUAGAUACCCUGGUAGUCCACGCCGUAAACGAUGAUUACUAGCUGUUGGCGAUAAACUGUCAGUGGCUAAGCGAAAGUGAUAAGUAAUCCACCUGGGGAGUACGAUCGCAAGGUUGAAACUCAAAGGAAUUGACGG
This 888-nucleotide ribosomal RNA is filed under the name uncultured Bacteroidota bacterium. Its description in RNAcentral is "bacterial SSU rRNA". It matches the Rfam family "Bacterial small subunit ribosomal RNA", at positions 28 to 916 of the family's 1533-position model. The record is from RNAcentral. Lineage: Bacteria; Pseudomonadati; Bacteroidota.